Molecule: long non-coding RNA, 272 nt
Filed under: Medicago truncatula (barrel medic)
Lineage: Eukaryota; Viridiplantae; Streptophyta; Magnoliopsida; Fabales; Fabaceae
Description: long non-coding RNA (MTRU_LNC007767)
Source: RNAcentral
UGAGUUUAAUAUUUUUAAAACCUUUACGGUUAUUAACUAUCAUAUCAACCAUGUUUCAGAAAGUGAGGGAGGGAUGUCAUGGAGAGAAGUUGCCAUAAAUGUUCACAUUUCACAAUCUAGCUGUCGAAGCAGAAGAAUCUCAAGUCAAACAAACUUCAGUUAUUCAGUCAAUUCUCUUUCUCUUUGUAUAUAUUCCACCUUUGUCACUCCAUUGUUUGUAUAAAACUAUUAAAAUGGCAACCUCCCAUUUUCUGGGUGUAGUUCUACCGAGG